UCCCAGCCGUAAACGAUGCAGGCUAGGUGUUGGAGCGGCCACGCGCCGCUUCAGUGCCACAGGGAAGCCGUUAAGCCUGCCGCCUGGGGAGUACGGCCGCAAGGUUGAAACUUAAAGGAAUUGGCGGGUGAGCACCACCAGGCGUGAAGCCUGCGGUUUAAUUGGAGUCAACACCGGGAAACUUACCGGGGGCGACAGCAGUGUGAAGGCCAGGUUGAAGGCCUUGCUGGACGAGCUGAGAGGAGGUGCAUGGCCGUCGUCAGUUCGUGCCGUGAGGUGUCCUGUUAAGUCAGGUAACGA
RNAcentral lists this ribosomal RNA (300 nucleotides) under uncultured bacterium. Its description in RNAcentral is "bacterial SSU rRNA". It matches the Rfam family "Archaeal small subunit ribosomal RNA", at positions 745 to 1044 of the family's 1478-position model. The record is from RNAcentral.